GGUUUGGUAGUGUCAGGACUCGACCGAGAUGACGCGGACGAUGGCAGUCUUUAUUUGUUUUUUAUUAACUCAGAGUUAGUAAUUCUUCUCGUACCUUUUCUGAUGAAAUCUGCAACAUGAAUAACCGACUCACACUGAGGUGAAAUAAACUCCAAAACUUUUCCUUAAAAGAAGACUCCACUUUUUUUCUCCUUUACAUUGGUCGUAUUAGAAACAGAAGCUUGGCUGAACAAUCCUGGCAAAAUUAGGUGUCAAAGUUUUUCGGGACCCGCAUUACGGACCGUCUCUCAAAGUUCGAGUCAACCGUUUCUCAAUUUCAAAUCAUUUCUAAAUGCUUACAACACCGAACCACCAUUAAAACCGUGCAUUGGUGCAAUAUAUAUACCAGAGCCAUUUGAAGUAACCGAGAAAUCAUCAGUAAUUCUACACAAACAAUAUGGAGGACACGCCGACACCGAUGAUGACGAAGAAGACAUCGAGCAUAACUUUUAUUAUAAUCCAGUAGGAUCAUCUGAAGAAUAUUCAUCGAAGGAAUGUGAAGUAAAUUAUAAAGAAAUUACUUUUAGAGAAGAUAUUUAUGAAGAGGAAGAUAAUUCUGACGAGGAUGAAGAUGAUACAGUAAAAGACGAAGAUGAUAAUAACGAAGAAAUAACACAAAAUUAUUCAAUCCCAGAUGAUUGUGAUCAUCUUAUCGUAACUUUACUGUUAUAGCGCAUUCAUAUUAUCAAAGACCUCUGGACAUAAAUUACUUUCAGCGAUAAACAAUUCAUUAUUA
This is an RNA transcript of Vanessa atalanta (red admiral), 775 nucleotides long. It is a transcript of the gene named myelin transcription factor 1-like protein, with no coding region annotated. The record is from RefSeq and is a predicted model, not a curated record. NCBI's taxonomy places the organism in Eukaryota, Metazoa, Arthropoda, Insecta, Lepidoptera, Nymphalidae. The transcript is spliced from 4 exons.